Molecule: non-coding RNA, 399 nt
Organism: Picea glauca (white spruce)
Lineage: Eukaryota; Viridiplantae; Streptophyta; Pinopsida; Pinales; Pinaceae
Source: Rfam
UUCCCCAGUAAUAGUAAUUCAACUUAGUAUGAGAGGAACCAUUGAUUCACACAAUUGGUCAUCGCGCUUGGUUGAAAAUCCAGUGGCGCGAAGCUAUCGUGUGUCGGAUUAUGACUGAAUGCCUCUAAGUCAGAAUCCAUUCUAGAAGCGACGCUUGUCACUCCUCGACUGUAUCUUGACCCGUAGUAGGGGUGUCUCUUCGGCACCCCUAGGGUUUCAUGUCACUUGCGAACCUCGAACGGGAAGCGUCUCGGUCAGGGCAGCUUUGAAGUUCAAUUUCAAACGAUCGUUGAGAAGAAUCCUUUGCAGACAACUUAAAUACGCGAUGGGGUAUUGUAAGUGGCAGAGUGGAUUUGCUGCCAUGAUCCACUGAGAUUCAACCCUUUGUCGCAUCGAUUU